CAGUGCAAUACGGGCGGGGCAUAGAGAGGCAGCCCCUGUGAGGGGCACCUGUGGGAACGGGGCUGUGUGGGGACGGAACGCCUACAUGGAUGGGAAUGAGGCGUCCAUUGGCACCAUGGAAACUAGAGCUUCCUUCUGAAGGGAUGCAGUGCCUAUAGGAAGUGGUAGAAGCCCCUGAAGGAAGGAAAUAUGCCCACAAGGACUGGGGGAAACUGUAUAGAAAGGAAGGUUACAGCCACUGCAGGGAGACAGCACUCUACAAGGGGAGGCAGCACGUAUUAAGAUCCUAUAAAGCAACAGCAGCUCUAAGAGCAACUACAGAAAGAAGAGGUAAAGGGGGGUACUAAGGUAGCUGAACAUCAGGGGACACAGCUGUACACCCCGCCUGCUUCUUUUGAAGGAUGACAGCAACUCUUACACCCCAAAGAUUAAACUGCAUUCUUUCCCGCUUAAUAAUUCCUUAACGUUUUAUUCUGGACCCAAUCUGUUGUGGGAGCAGCUUGUGCACAGCAGCCCCUGUGCUGGGAAACCUUCACCAAACAGCUGCUGAAGCAGCUGGGCAGCACUGCAGCUCGCCAGCAUCUCACAACACUGCGCUGCACCUAGUUCACAUUUAAUGAGUACGUGUGCAAAGAACAGCAUUGAUGUGAACGGACAAGAAGCCUGCGAGUUGUGCAGAGGAAUUUCAGCCAUUGAGCUGCUGUUCCAACAGUGCAACUGAACCUCUCCAGCCAACGGGGCGGUACCAGGCGAUGGACACACGCUCAGGCUCCGCUCUGCAGCACAAGGCUCCAUGUCCCGAGUGCUCAGCCCUCAGAAGGGGGCGGGCCGCUGCCGGCAGUGAAAUAGGCUGUUACACGGCGGAGAAACCGCGUCAGAGGAGGCAGCUCCUUGUGGUACGUCGUUACCGUGGUCACCUGGAUCCCUAGGGGUGCAUUUGUAACCACCACACUUCUGGAGCGCUCUUCAUCAUCGCUUUUGUUCUCUAACGAGCGAAAGAAACAAAACAAAGAACUUGGCAUUAAAACGAGCCAUCCUUUCCUCGGGCCAACACAGCCCUCACACACCACACUCCCCCACCGUCUUCCCCUCCAAGUGCGCAUGCCCGCCUCGCCAAGCCCAGCCUCCCUCCCGGGCCUAGAGGGCCUUACCGUCCCGUACCGUGCCCGCAGCCGUCCUCGGCUGUUCCGCUGUGGUAGUAGCUGUAGUGCAGCAUGCCGCCCAGCAUGGUCCAGCCGCCUAUGGAGUACAGCAGCGCCCAGCGCGCCUUCCACACCGCCGCCCGCACCGCCCUCAUGGCCUGCCGUGCGCCGGGCUGCCGCUAGGAGGGCGGGAAGAUGGCGGCGGGCUGUGUGUGGGGUCGCGCAUGCGCCCAAGCUGAGGGAAGGAAGAGGAAGAUGGCGGCACGCUGAGGCCUCGGCCUUACCAAGAGACAGGAGUGUUCUGCACUGACACAGCUCAGUGGGGACCAGCACUCAGUGUUAACGCCUUUCUUAGCCAGUUUUAUUCACCACUGAUUCAGCCCCAGGUUGCCUAAAGCCACCACCUCAGCCCACAGAUCAUCACGGAUUAAGCUACACCACAUAAAACAUACUUUGGCUCCUGAUACGGUAUGAGAAAAGCAGUGUAAACAACAGAGAUAAAAAGGAAUACAAAUAAAUUAGUAUCUAGAAGGGUAAAGUA
Coturnix japonica (Japanese quail) is the source of this 1683-nucleotide non-coding RNA. Lineage: Eukaryota; Metazoa; Chordata; Aves; Galliformes; Phasianidae. The record is from RefSeq and is a predicted model, not a curated record.